CCCGGGAUUGUCUCAAAGAACAUUGACAAGGCACUUUUUGAGGCUUUCAACCCAUUGAACAUCUCUGAUUACAACUCCAUCUUUUGGAUUGCACACCCCGGUGGGCCUGCUAUUCUUGACCAAGUUGAGCAAAAGUUAGGUCUCAAACCUGAGAAGAUGAAGGCCACUAGAGAUGUGCUUAGUGAAUAUGGGAACAUGUCAAGUGCUUGUGUUCUUUUCAUCUUGGAUGAGAUGAGGAGGAAAUCUGCUGAAAAUGGACUUAAAACCACAGGUGAAGGACUUGAAUGGGGUGUGUUGUUCGGUUUUGGACCUGGACUUACCAUUGAAACUGUUGUUCUGCGCAGUGUGGCCAUCUGAGAUGCCUAAUAUAUUAUUUCAUUAUUGUGUACCACUUUUCAAACUUGCUGGAGUUUGUA
RNAcentral lists this long non-coding RNA (416 nucleotides) under Glycine max (soybean). RNAcentral's name for it is "long non-coding RNA (GMAX_LNC002379)". The record is from RNAcentral. Lineage: Eukaryota; Viridiplantae; Streptophyta; Magnoliopsida; Fabales; Fabaceae.